Molecule: long non-coding RNA, 1570 nt
Organism: Erinaceus europaeus (western European hedgehog)
Lineage: Eukaryota; Metazoa; Chordata; Mammalia; Eulipotyphla; Erinaceidae
Exons: 3
Source: RefSeq, a predicted model, not a curated record
GGUGCAGCCAGGGGUGGUGGUGAGGAGUUGAGCAGUUGCAGAAGAAGGUGUUGAAAGGUACCAGGGGUCCAGGAUGAGCAGAGCCUCUGUGACAUGAUCCUGCAGCUGAGCUGGGGCCACAGAAGCCACAUACAGCCAUGCCAGCUUGGCAGGAAGGAAGCCUGCCCCUCAUCACCCUUUGCAAACAGAAUCUGGGAGGGUGGGGUGGUAACGCCUAUCUGCCUCCCCCUCUUGUGUCUCAGGGAACAUUCACAUAGGCAGGUGCAGGUGGGGGAUGGGAAGCAGGUAGGGUGGGGCCCUGAGGCCACCAGCUCGUCCCCUCCCGGGUCAGGAAGAACCUUGGGAAUUUCCUUCUCCACUUUCCCAUUGCUUUCUCAAGGACCAAGGCUGGACAGAAAGCAGGCGGGAAGGGAGAGCCUCUGGUAGCUCUCUUCUUAUUUUCCAAAUUUACUUUCAGCCUAUUAACUACUCUUUGCUGAACAGUUCCUGAGUCUGACCCAAUCUACCAAUCAGGUCACCACCUCCUCCCUUUAAGGCCGUGUCAACUCAAUUCAAGGAGAAAGUGCUAGAAAGGAACGUGGAAUGUUAUAUAUCCUGUAUGGACCUUUUCCAGGGACCAAGGAGAAAAGCAAGUUCUAUAUUAUUCUCUUUUCUGCUGGGCUUGGGGGAAACCCUUGUCUGAAGAGUGUUUGUACCUGACUACAACACCUAGGAAGAGCUAUAAUACAAAUAGGAGGCUGACAUUUGUUUCAGUUGACUAAUAUCCAAGCUGCUAGUUUAAGUGACAAUCCUUUUAUCAAGCCACCAAGUUGCAGAUGCUAUCAUGAUUCCUUCCUGACUUCUCUGGCAGAUGACCUCACCAAUGUGUCCUGGAACCUCACCUCUCCAGAGCUCUACUGCCCACUAGGAAAAGAUAGAAACAAACUUGGGAUAUGGAUCGACCUACCAAUGCCUAUAUCAACUGCAGAAGCAAUUACAGAAGCCAAACCUGUCACCUUCUGCACCCCAUAAAAGAGUUUUCAUCAUACUCCAAGUGGGGAGAAGUAAUAGGGGAAAGAUGACCAGAAGGUUCUGAACUCCAACUCUAUGAGGACCCAGACAGAGAAAACAGAGAGGGAUGUUUGGGUGUAAAAAUAGGUUUAUGUGUGACUGGUAAAGGAAGAAAAGAUGGGACUCUAAAAAAUGGGCAAUUAGGGGGGCCGGGUGGCAGUGUAGCAGAUUAAACACAUAUGGCACAAAGCGCAAGGACAGGUGUUAAGGAUCCCAGUUUGAGCCCUUGACUCCCCACCUGCAGAGAGGUCACUUUACAAGCAGUGAAGCAGGUCUGCAGGUGUCUUUCUUUCUCUCCCCCUCUCUGUCCUCCCCUCCUUCGAUUUCUCUCUGUCCUAUCCAACAAAAACAGAAAUAACAACAAUAGCAGUAAUAACAACAACAAUAACAAGGGCAACAAAAUGGUGAAAAAAUGGCCUCCAGGAACAGUGGGUUCGUAGUACAGGCACCGAACCCCAGUGAUAAAACCCUGGAGGCAAAAAAAGGAGGGGCAAUUAUAUACAAAUGUAGACAAAAGAGU